CGUAACAAGGUCUCCGUAGGUGAACCUGCGGAGGGAUCAUUACACAAAUAUGAAGGCGGGCUGGAACCUCUCGGGGUUACAGCCUUGCUGAAUUAUUCACCCUUGUCUUUUGCGUACUUCUUGUUUCCUUGGUGGGUUCGCCCACCACUAGGACAAACAUAAACCUUUUGUAAUUGCAAUCAGCGUCAGUAACAAAUUAGUAAUUACAACUUUCAACAACGGAUCUCUUGGUUCUGGCAUCGAUGAAGAACGCAGCGAAAUGCGAUAAGUAGUGUGAAUUGCAGAAUUCAGUGAAUCAUCGAAUCUUUGAACGCACAUUGCGCCCUUUGGUAUUCCAAAGGGCAUGCCUGUUCGAGCGUCAUUUGUACCCUCAAGCUUUGCUUGGUGUUGGGCGUCUUGUCUCUAGCUUUGCUGGAGACUCGCCUUAAAGUAAUUGGCAGCCGGCCUACUGGUUUCGGAGCGCAGCACAAGUCGCACUCUCUAUCAGCAAAGGUCUAGCAUCCAUUAAGCCUUUUUUUCAACUUUUGACCUCGGAUCAGGUAGGGAUACCCGCUGAACUUAAGCAUAUCA
This 570-nucleotide ribosomal RNA is filed under the name uncultured fungus. RNAcentral describes it as "eukaryotic LSU rRNA". The stretch from base 208 to 361 matches the Rfam family "5.8S ribosomal RNA". The record is from RNAcentral. Lineage: Eukaryota; Fungi.